This 82-nucleotide transfer RNA is filed under the name Fibrobacterota bacterium. RNAcentral's name for it is "Fibrobacteres bacterium tRNA-Leu". It matches the Rfam family "tRNA". From Rfam's summary of the family: Transfer RNA (tRNA) molecules are approximately 80 nucleotides in length. Their secondary structure includes four short double-helical elements and three loops (D, anti-codon, and T loops). Further hydrogen bonds mediate the characteristic L-shaped molecular structure. tRNAs have two regions of fundamental functional importance: the anti-codon, which is responsible for specific mRNA codon recognition, and the 3' end, to which the tRNAs corresponding amino acid is attached (by aminoacyl-tRNA synthetases). tRNAs cope with the degeneracy of the genetic code in two manners: having more than one tRNA (with a specific anti-codon) for a particular amino acid; and 'wobble' base-pairing, i.e. permitting non-standard base-pairing at the 3rd anti-codon position. The record is from RNAcentral. Lineage: Bacteria; Pseudomonadati; Fibrobacterota.
GUCCCGGUGGUGGAAUCGGUAGACACAGCGGACUUAAAAUCCGCAGACUUCGGUCAUGCGGGUUCAAAUCCCGCCCGGGACA